Molecule: long non-coding RNA, 784 nt
Filed under: Neodiprion pinetum (white pine sawfly)
Lineage: Eukaryota; Metazoa; Arthropoda; Insecta; Hymenoptera; Diprionidae
Description: uncharacterized LOC124216984
Source: RNAcentral
CUCUUUCCUGCGAGUCGCUAACUAUCUUGUCGCCCUUCUUCCUCUCCUUCGACAGUCGAACCUGCAGGAUUAAGGAGGGACGGAUAAAGACAAAACUUGGAUGGAAAAUCAAGACCUGUUUCACAAUUAGCCGUGCCAAGUUACAGACAGAGAAUAGUUUCACCACAGAAGUUGAUAGUGGGAGGAGGGGAAUGUAAAAAAACCAACGAAAUGUACCUGAAACCUAUACAGAGAGCUGUCAUCCUUAACAGUCAGAGUCUUGGAGUCGUUCACCGGGAAGAAGUAACCGUACUGGCAAAGUUGAUUAGCAAUAUGGACCGCCUCUACUGUCAACAUAACAAUAUACUUUCAUAUCUUGGAGUUCCAGGUCUUUAUCGUGUCUCUGCACGGUGCAUCUCUAGUGUCUUGUUACUGUAGCAAUCAGCAACUCCGUGCAUCGUUCUGCCUGCAGUUGUACGAAAGGAAGAUGCGAUUAUUUGCAGCGCCGACAGUGAAAUUAAGACGCAAACGUCGAGCUAGAGGGAUAAAAUGAAACAAACAAAUCGCCGGAAAGCGGAAUCGGUCCUAGUCAUGGCCGAAGUCUGCAAAUUGGCCGAAGAAGGAGGUGGAUGCGAGAUGCUUUCGGAGAUGCGGAACAGCAGCGGCUGCAGCAGCACUGCAGGAUCGCGACGUGCGUGCGUGGAGAAAAGAAGCGGAUGCUCACAGCCAUUCCAGCCAGCUUACACGCAUUGAUGGCGUAGUACGUGUUUCUGUCUUUCGAUAUUGGUGGUGUUCGUACCUGAUU